GUUUGAUGCCGGGCCCCUCUGGCGAACGUGGCGGCACGUUCGUGAUGUCGGCGUUGACCU
Paracoccus yeei is the source of this 60-nucleotide non-coding RNA. The record is from Rfam. NCBI's taxonomy places the organism in Bacteria, Pseudomonadati, Pseudomonadota, Alphaproteobacteria, Rhodobacterales, Paracoccaceae.